GUCGGCUUCUCGUCCCGGCUGGGACUUGGGUUAAGCGGCUCGGCUGCGGCAUGGGGGUGCGGAGCGGUGGGCUGGAGGGGAGCUUAUUUGUAGGAAAGCGUGAAGGACCCAAGUCAGGCUUCUGGGAACGUCUCACACUCCUGUUAAUUUGUCCCUGCAGCCUGGAAGCUCUGGGGUUUUCUCCGUGAGGGUUUUGAAAAUCCAUUAGAUCUUGCCUCUGCUCUGGUGCUUAUGAGAAUAUCAGCGUUUUGCAGGUGUUACAGCUUACGUUUACACAUCAGUGAUGCUUUCCAAAUGGAUCCUCAACUGGUUUCUGGUCCUGAUGGUGUCUAUAGCACAGUGCAGAGACACUGGCAGACAUGUGCGGGCCUGCACUGCUUCCCAGAGUACUGAUUGGCGAUCUGGUCAAGACAAAGUCUUGAAUAAUGUUCUUGGUCCUCUUAGGAACAGAAUCUUGUCGUGUAGCCAUGCUUUCUGAUACAAAUGCAACAAAAAAGCAUCUGAGUUCACUAAGGUUGCAUAUCUUUAUAAAAUAGACAGUGGCCAGUUGGUUAGAGUAUUGGUAUAAGAGGCAGGCAUUUGUGUUUAAAGUACUUUUGAGUUUGGAAUCCAGAUGGAAACCAAGUUACUUUUGGUUCUGGGAAUGGGCCAUAGUCUAUUAAUAUAGUGAAAACAGCUAUGAUCGAACAUCCAUACAUGUCUAUAUUUUACAUGGUUUCUGAGUCACGUAUUUU
Long non-coding RNA from Columba livia (rock pigeon), 734 nucleotides. RefSeq lists it as uncharacterized. The record is from RefSeq and is a predicted model, not a curated record. The transcript is spliced from 3 exons. Lineage: Eukaryota; Metazoa; Chordata; Aves; Columbiformes; Columbidae.